Molecule: unclassified non-coding RNA, 647 nt
Filed under: uncultured Prochlorococcus sp.
Lineage: Bacteria; Bacillati; Cyanobacteriota; Cyanophyceae; Synechococcales; Prochlorococcaceae
Description: partial 16S-23S ribosomal RNA intergenic spacer; may also contain 16S ribosomal RNA and 23S ribosomal RNA
Rfam family: tRNA (bases 305-377)
Source: RNAcentral
UUGUGGAGAGAGACGCCGAAGGUGGGGCUAAUGACUGGGGUGAAGUCGUAACAAGGUAGCCGUACCGGAAGGUGCGGCUGGAUCACCUCCUAACAGGGAGACAACAAAAUGUUUAAUAUUAUUAUUUUGUCACCUUAGGUCGAUCGGUAUCUCACGUUCUUAAUUUAUUAAGAAUUUCAUUUCCUAAGUUUUUCUAGGUCACACCCAUUAUUUUUCCUGGGCCAUUAGCUCAGGUGGUUAGAGCGCACCCCUGAUAAGGGUGAGGUCCCUGGUUCAAGUCCAGGAUGGCCCAUAUCUCUAUGUUGGGGGUAUAGCUCAGUUGGUAGAGCGCCUGCUUUGCAAGCAGGAUGUCAGCGGUUCGAGUCCGCUUACCUCCACUGAUCACCACCUCUUCCAUAAUCGGUAGAAAGGAAAUUUUUUGAGUUGUGAUCAAAUUCUGAAAGAAUCUAGCUUCCUAAUGAAAUUAUUAAGAUGCUGGACUCAUUGAAUUAAUUUCAUUGUUUUCAGAGAACCUUGACAACUGCAUAGAUUAUUUUUAAAGACAAUAAGCAUCUUUAAUGAUGCAGAUUUAUUAUUUGUGCAAAUGCAUUAAUAACAAUUCUAUUAAGCUGAUGCUUCAAUAUUUGAAGUUAUUGGUCAAGCUACAA